UACGUAGGGGCGAGCGUUGUCCGGAAUGAUUGGGCGUAAAGGGCGCGUAGGCGGCCUGUUAAGUCUGGAGUGAAAGUCCCGCUUUCAAGGCGGGAAGUGCUUUGGAAACUGGCGGGCUGGAGUGCAGGAGAGGUUAGCGGAAUUCCCGGUGUAGCGGUGAAAUGCGUAGAGAUCGGGAGGAACACCAGUGGCGAAGGCGGUUUCCUGGCCUGAUACUGACACUGAGGCGCGAAAGCGUGGGGAGCAAACAGGAUUAGAUACCCUGGUAGUCCCUGAG
This 277-nucleotide ribosomal RNA is filed under the name uncultured prokaryote. Its description in RNAcentral is "partial 16S ribosomal RNA". It matches the Rfam family "Bacterial small subunit ribosomal RNA", at positions 524 to 801 of the family's 1533-position model. The record is from RNAcentral.